GAGUCUGGAGCUCUGGCUCGCGCAGUAGCGUCACGCGGAGGCGGAGCGAGGACUCGGGGACAACUAGAGAGCUUGGGACUUUCGUUUGGGAAAAUCACUGUGGGAAGGAAUAAAUAAGGAAAUACUUCAUGGAAAAAGCUUUGAAGAGGCCAAAAACAGAAACCGAUGAGGGAGAAGGGGAGCUGAGGAGAGGAAAAGCAGCUGACCAAAGUUCCCUCACUUCUCCACUGUAGACUUCCAAGCCUGGAGCAAAACUCUACUGGGAAUGGGAAGAAGUUUUAAAUGAAAUGAGAUUAACGUUUGGUUUAUUACACCGAACUGGAUUCAGUUACAAAAAUCAAAAGACUACUCAUUUAUUACCUGAGAGCAGCAAAAAAAUUAUUAUUAUUUAUUUAUUUAUUACAGCAAACUCAACUCAAUUACUUAAAAAAAGAGUAUUUAUUUAUUACCUGAGGGCAACAACAAUAACUAUAAAAUCUCCCCGAGAUUUGAAAGGGGUGGGAGUGGGGCACUGUGAGCUGGAACAAAUGGAAGGUGCAGGCUUGAAGGUCAGUGGGAGCUUUCAGCAUGCACCCUGCUCUGUUCAACUCAUUUAAUAAAGUGCUUUCAAUACCUGCGA
Macaca mulatta (Rhesus monkey) is the source of this 619-nucleotide non-coding RNA. The record is from RefSeq and is a predicted model, not a curated record. NCBI's taxonomy places the organism in Eukaryota, Metazoa, Chordata, Mammalia, Primates, Cercopithecidae.